This 105-nucleotide non-coding RNA is filed under the name Lachnospiraceae bacterium TWA4. RNAcentral describes it as "NiCo (Nickel/Cobalt) riboswitch aptamer". It matches the Rfam family "NiCo (Nickel/Cobalt) riboswitch aptamer". The record is from Rfam by way of RNAcentral. Lineage: Bacteria; Bacillati; Bacillota; Clostridia; Lachnospirales; Lachnospiraceae. RNAcentral also lists the same sequence under 1 other name.
ACAGUACAAUCUGAUCAGACCUAACGCCGGUAAGAGUAAUCUAUCGCUAAGGAGUCGGGCCUAAUAUGGGCAACGGAUGUAAGAUACAGCAUCUGUGGGACAGUA